CCUACGGGUGGCAGCAGUGAGGAAUAUUGGUCAAUGGCCGGAAGGCUGAACCAGCCAUGCCGCGUGAAGGUCAGUGCCCUAUGGGCGUUAAACUUCUUUUGUGCGGGAGCAAUAAUGGUCACGUGUGGCCAGACGAGAGUACCGUACGAAUAAGCAUCGGCUAACUCCGUGCCAGCAGCCGCGGUAAUACGGGGGAUGCAAGCGUUAUCCGGAUUUAUUGGGGUUAAAGGGUGCGUAGGCUGUGAGGUAAGUCAGCGGUGAAAUGCCCCGGGUCAACGGGGUGAAGUGCCAUUGAUACUGGCUGGCGGGAGGGGGGUAGGGGGGGGAGGAAGGUGAGGUGUAGCGGUGAAAUGCAGAGAGAACA
This 364-nucleotide ribosomal RNA is filed under the name uncultured bacterium. RNAcentral's name for it is "partial 16S ribosomal RNA". It matches the Rfam family "Bacterial small subunit ribosomal RNA", at positions 338 to 699 of the family's 1533-position model. The record is from RNAcentral.